GACGAACGCUGGCGGCGUGCUUAACACAUGCAAGUCGAACGGAAAGGCCCUGCUUUUGUGGGGUGCUCGAGUGGCGAACGGGUGAGUAACACGUGAGUAACCUGCCCUUGACUUUGGGAUAACUUCAGGAAACUGGGGCUAAUACCGGAUAGGAGCUCCUGCUGCAUGGUGGGGGUUGGAAAGUUUCGGCGGUUGGGGAUGGACUCGCGGCUUAUCAGCUUGUUGGUGGGGUAGUGGCUUACCAAGGCUUUGACGGGUAGCCGGCCUGAGAGGGUGACCGGCCACAUUGGGACUGAGAUACGGCCCAGACUCCUACGGGAGGCAGCAGUGGGGAAUAUUGCACAAUGGGCGGAAGCCUGAUGCAGCAACGCCGCGUGCGGGAUGACGGCCUUCGGGGUGUAAACCGCUGUCGCCUGUGACGAAGCGGGAGUGACGGUAAUGGGUAAAGAAGCACCGGCUAACUACGUG
RNAcentral lists this ribosomal RNA (468 nucleotides) under uncultured bacterium. Its description in RNAcentral is "partial 16S ribosomal RNA". It matches the Rfam family "Bacterial small subunit ribosomal RNA", at positions 28 to 507 of the family's 1533-position model. The record is from RNAcentral.